Molecule: non-coding RNA, 49 nt
Organism: Trichobilharzia regenti
Lineage: Eukaryota; Metazoa; Platyhelminthes; Trematoda; Strigeidida; Schistosomatidae
Source: Rfam
GUAUUGCUGAAGAGUCUCAAACUAGGCUAACGAAACAGCUGUCCAGUAC